RNAcentral lists this unclassified non-coding RNA (329 nucleotides) under soil metagenome. RNAcentral's name for it is "partial contains 5.8S ribosomal RNA, internal transcribed spacer 2, and large subunit ribosomal RNA". The stretch from base 1 to 120 matches the Rfam family "5.8S ribosomal RNA", at positions 35 to 154 of the family's 154-position model. The record is from RNAcentral.
GAUGAAGAACGCAGCGAAAUGCGAUAAGUAAUGUGAAUUGCAGAAUUCAGUGAAUCAUCGAAUCUUUGAACGCACAUUGCGCCCCUUGGUAUUCCGAGGGGCAUGCCUGUUCGAGCGUCAUUAUAACCCCUCAAGCUCAGCUUGGUGUUGGGGCCUGCUGCACUGGCAGCCCUUAAAAUCAGUGGCGGCGCCAUCUGGCUCUAAGCGUAGUAAUUCUUCACGCUAUGGAGUCCUGGUGGAUGCUUGCCAUCAACCCCCAAUUUUUCUAUGGUUGACCUCGGAUCAGGUAGGGAUACCCGCUGAACUUAAGCAUAUCAAUAAGCGGAGGA